GUCCCUGUGGCUCAGUUGGUAGAGCAUGGUGUUUGCAACGCCAGAGUUGUGGGUUUGAUUCCCACGGGGGGCC
Molecule: transfer RNA, 73 nt
Filed under: Salmo salar (Atlantic salmon)
Lineage: Eukaryota; Metazoa; Chordata; Actinopteri; Salmoniformes; Salmonidae
Rfam family: tRNA
About the family: Transfer RNA (tRNA) molecules are approximately 80 nucleotides in length. Their secondary structure includes four short double-helical elements and three loops (D, anti-codon, and T loops).
Source: Rfam by way of RNAcentral